This 395-nucleotide ribosomal RNA is filed under the name uncultured bacterium. RNAcentral describes it as "partial 16S ribosomal RNA". It matches the Rfam family "Bacterial small subunit ribosomal RNA", at positions 523 to 918 of the family's 1533-position model. The record is from RNAcentral.
AUACGUAGGGGGCGAGCGUUGUCCGGAAUGAUUGGGCGUAAAGGGCGCGUAGGCGGCCCGGUAAGUCUGGAGUGAAAGUCCUGUUUUUAAGAUGGGAAUUGCUUUGGAUACUGUCGGGCUUGAGUGCAGGAGAGGUAAGUGGAAUUCCCAGUGUAGCGGUGAAAUGCGUAGAGAUUGGGAGGAACACCAGUGGCGAAGGCGACUUACUGGACUGUAACUGACACUGAGGCACGAAAGCGUGGGGAGCAAACAGGAUUAGAUACCCUGGUAGUCCACGCCGUAAACGAUGAGCACUAGGUGUCGGGGGGAAGAACCCUCGGUGCCGCAGUUAACGCAAUAAGUGCUCCGCCUGGGGAGUACGCACGCAAGUGUAAAACUCAAAGGAAUUGACGGGG